AGUGAACGCUGGCGGCAGGCCUAACACAUGCAAGUCGAACGGCAGCACAGCAGUAGCAAUACUGUGGGUGGCGAGUGGCGGACGGGUGAGGAAUACAUCGGGAUCUACCUUUUCGUGGGGGAUAACGUAGGGAAACUUACGCUAAUACCGCAUACGCCCUACGGGGGAAAGCGGCGGACCGCAAGGCGUCGCGCGAUGAGAUGAACCGAUGUCCGAUUAGCUAGUUGGCGGGGUAAAGGCCCACCAAGGCGACGAUCGGUAGCUGAUCUGAGAGGAUGAUCAGCCACACUGGAACUGAGACACGGUCCAGACUCCUACGGGAGGCAGCAGUGGGGAAUAUUGGACAAUGGGCGCAAGCCUGAUCCAGCCAUGCCGCGUGGGUGAAGAAGGCCUCGGUGUAAGCCUUUGUCCGAAGAAAGACACGGAGUAAUACCUCGUGUGAUGACGGUACCGGAAGAAUAAGCACCGGCUAACUUCGUGCCAGCAGCCGAC
RNAcentral lists this ribosomal RNA (492 nucleotides) under uncultured bacterium. RNAcentral describes it as "bacterial SSU rRNA". It matches the Rfam family "Bacterial small subunit ribosomal RNA", at positions 29 to 518 of the family's 1533-position model. The record is from RNAcentral.